RNAcentral lists this long non-coding RNA (383 nucleotides) under Mytilus galloprovincialis (Mediterranean mussel). Lineage: Eukaryota; Metazoa; Mollusca; Bivalvia; Mytilida; Mytilidae. The record is from RNAcentral.
AAUCAACGAAUAAAGGACAUAUAGGAAUAAUUAAGCAAAUGCAUAGACUCCUUAAGGAGAUAUUGCAAUAAAGUUUUUUUUAUUUGCAUUAGCAAUAUCUUAAAUGUGAAGAGCAAAAUUUCCAGCAGAAGAAGAUAAAAAAAACCCGUACAAUUUGGUCAAAAAUUAUAUUGUAUGGAGAAUCUCAAAAGAAUGCAAACCCUAGCCAAACUCGAUCUUCAAGGAAUCAGUAUGCGAAAGUAGAAUGCCGGUGGCUGCUUACAAAAUAUAAAGUCAUUCUAUUUGGUUAUAUAUGAGAAAUGCGUGACGAAAAGUUCAUUCAACUUAUUGUAAAAUCCAACAAACAGCAAAAUGAGAAACAAAAACAAACCAUUAAUAUGUAC